RNAcentral lists this ribosomal RNA (402 nucleotides) under uncultured bacterium. RNAcentral's name for it is "bacterial SSU rRNA". It matches the Rfam family "Bacterial small subunit ribosomal RNA", at positions 355 to 774 of the family's 1533-position model. The record is from RNAcentral.
UCGGGAAUUUUGGGCAAUGGGCGAAAGCCUGACCCAGCAACGCCGCGUGAGGGAUGAAGUAUUUCGGUAUGUAAACCUCGAAAGAAUGGGAAGAAUAAAUGACGGUACCAUUUAUAAGCUCCGGCUAACUACGUGCCAGCAGCCGCGGUGAUACGUAGGGAGCAAGCGUUGUUCGGAUUUACUGGGCGUAAAGGGCGCGUAGGCGGCGCGGUAAGUCACUUGUGAAAUCUCUGAGCUUAACUCAGAACGGCCAAGUGAUACUGCUGUCCUAGAGUGCGGAAGAGGCAACCGGAAUUCUUGGUGUAGCGGUGAAAAGCGUAGAUAUCAAGAGGAACACCUGAGGCGAAGGCGGGUUGCUGGGCCGACACUGACGCUGAUGCGCGAAAGCCAGGGGAGCAGACG